RNAcentral lists this microRNA precursor (53 nucleotides) under Pteropus alecto (black flying fox). RNAcentral describes it as "microRNA pal-mir-885 precursor". Its record names the gene pal-mir-885. The record is from miRBase by way of RNAcentral. Lineage: Eukaryota; Metazoa; Chordata; Mammalia; Chiroptera; Pteropodidae.
UCCAUUACACUACCCUGCCUCUUCUCUGUGAGAGGCAGUGGGGUGUAGUGGAG